Molecule: ribosomal RNA, 507 nt
Filed under: uncultured bacterium
Lineage: Bacteria
Description: partial 16S ribosomal RNA
Rfam family: Bacterial small subunit ribosomal RNA
Source: RNAcentral
GACGAACGCUGGCGGCGUGCCUAAUACAUGCAAGUCGAACGCAUUUUCUUUCACCGUAGCUUGCUACACCGAAAGAAAAUGAGUGACGAACGGGUGAGUAACACGUGGGUAACCUGCCCAUCAGCGGGGGAUAACACUUGGAAACAGGUGCUAAUACCGCAUAAUUCCAUUUACCGCAUGGUAGAUGGGUGAAAGGCGCUUUUGCGUCACUGAUGGAUGGACCCGCGGUGCAUUAGCUAGUUGGUGGGGUAACGGCCUACCAAGGCUGCGAUGCAUAGCCGACCUGAGAGGGUGAUCGGCCACACUGGGACUGAGACACGGCCCAGACUCCUACGGGAGGCAGCAGUAGGGAAUCUUCGGCAAUGGACGCAAGUCUGACCGAGCAACACCGCGUGAGUGAAGAAGGUUUUCGGAUCGUAAAACUCUGUUGUUAGAGAAGAACAAGGAUGAGAGUGGAAAGUUCAUCCCUUGACGGUAUCUAACCAGAAAGCCACGGCUAACUACGUG